UAAGGAAUAUUGGUCAAUGGAGGCAACUCUGAACCAGCCAUGCCGCGUGAAGGAUUAAGGCCCUCUGGGUUGUAAACUUCUUUUAUAUGGGAAGAAAUGUACUUUUUCUAAAGUGCUUGACGGUACCAUAGGAAUAAGCACCGGCUAACUCCGUGCCAGCAGCCGCGGUAAUACGGAGGGUGCAAGCGUUAUCCGGAUUUACUGGGUUUAAAGGGUGCGUAGGCGGAUGAAUAAGUCAGUGGUGAAAUCUCCGAGCUUAACUCGGAAAAUGCCGUCGAUACUAUUUGUCUUGAAUAUUGUGGAGGUGAGCGGAAUAUGUCAUGUAGCGGUGAAAUGCUUAGAUAUGACAUAAAACACCAAUUGCGAAGGCAGCUUGCUACACAAUCAUUGACGCUGAGGCACGAAAGCGUGGGGAUCAAACA
Molecule: ribosomal RNA, 422 nt
Filed under: uncultured bacterium
Lineage: Bacteria
Description: bacterial SSU rRNA
Rfam family: Bacterial small subunit ribosomal RNA
Source: RNAcentral